Molecule: non-coding RNA, 517 nt
Organism: Pelodiscus sinensis (Chinese soft-shelled turtle)
Lineage: Eukaryota; Metazoa; Chordata; Testudines; Trionychidae
Source: RefSeq, a predicted model, not a curated record
UGCUGGUGGCGGCUCGCAGAGAGCAGCUGUGUGGCCCAUCAGUCUGUUCCAGUCUGGCCAUUCCUGCGCUUCUGUUCCUGCUCGUUCCCCAUGGAGACACGAGGGAAGCAUCAGUCUCCUAUCUGGGUGUUUUCUGCCUUGUCCAUCUCCUCUCUGUCUCUCACUUUCUCUCUUUUUAUUUUUUAAGUGGAAAAAUCUAGGCAGCCGCCUCCCUGCCCCGCUGCUGCCCCUGGGUGCCCCGACGGCUGGUUCAGGAGCGAAGGGAGAUGUUACUAUUUUUCUAAGGCUGAAAGGGACUGGACCGAAAGCCAGAACAACUGCACCUCACACGCUGCCUCCCUGACUGGGAUUGAGAAUCUGCAGGAGCUGGCUUCCCUGCUGCCUUACCCAGGCAGACUGGACCACUGGAUUGGCCUCCAGAAGGACGCAGGCGGGGUCUGGAGAUGGGUCAAUGGCACCGAAUUUGACCGUCGGUUUGAAAUACAAGGAGGAGCCGACUGCACCUACCUAAAUGAAG